GCCAGCAGCCAUAUCACCCUGCAACUGGCAACCUACUGAAGCUAAGUGGGUGUGAGCCUGGUCAGUACCUGGAUGGGAGACCUCCUGGGAAAAACUAUGGUUGCUGCUGGAA
This 112-nucleotide ribosomal RNA is filed under the name Lepisosteus oculatus (spotted gar). Lineage: Eukaryota; Metazoa; Chordata; Actinopteri; Semionotiformes; Lepisosteidae. The record is from RNAcentral.